UCAGAGGCAAGGGUUGUAAAGUUUAGGAUUUUAACUACAAUUUUUGUACAAAUUUUAUAGGGUUAGGAGUUAGGGUGAAUAAGUUAUAGCCGUUUGAAGUUAAGGUGUCAAUUUGAGACCUACUGUUACUAUUUUGAGUUUAAGAGGAGUCUUAUGGAAGCUUUUGGAGAUCGGAAGGUGCGGCAGUAAGGGCAACUUCAAGACAUACAUCUUUUGCGAAGGAAAUUUUGCAUUUGGAGUUUAUGUGAAGGAGUUAUAGGGAGUUAAAGACAAUGCAUUCAAAUCAAAGGCAGUAAGUGAGUGGUUUUGUUCAAAGUAAUGUUAGGAGCCAUAACUUGAGUUUUCGAAUGAAAUUUUGGCUAAAAAUUUGGGAGAAUGUAAAUAUUUGUGUUAAAAAGCUAUUUAUAUAAGUUUCGUGGCUUUUGGACUUAUGGUUUGUGAGAUAUGAAGAAAAUUGCGCGCGGGUAUAUAAAGAUUAGGGUUUGAAGCGACUGUUAGGAUUUUGAAGAUAUCUCAAGAUCCGCGACGAAUUUGCGGUUGAAAUUUUUUUUACAAAUUAAUAACAACAUAUCAGUACUUCAUGUAAAUUUUGAUCUUGUUUAGACGGUUGGAUCAAGAGUUAUGAGGUGUUGAGGUUCGGAAGAAUUUCCACACAAGGAUAUACAAGGUUUUAGAGUACUUAUACCAUAUUUUGGGUAUUGUUGGUUAUUUAAGACUUAAGUAUUUGGUG
RNAcentral lists this long non-coding RNA (730 nucleotides) under Physcomitrium patens. RNAcentral describes it as "long non-coding RNA (PPAT_LNC012960)". Lineage: Eukaryota; Viridiplantae; Streptophyta; Bryopsida; Funariales; Funariaceae. The record is from RNAcentral.